RNAcentral lists this ribosomal RNA (695 nucleotides) under uncultured bacterium. RNAcentral's name for it is "bacterial SSU rRNA". It matches the Rfam family "Bacterial small subunit ribosomal RNA", at positions 32 to 715 of the family's 1533-position model. The record is from RNAcentral.
AACGCUAGCUACAGGCUUAACACAUGCAAGUCGAGGGGCAUCAGUUUGGUUUGCUUGCAAACCAAAGCUGGCGACCGGCGCACGGGUGAGUAACACGUAUCCAACCUGCCUCAUACUCGGGGAUAGCCUUUCGAAAGAAAGAUUAAUAUCCGAUAGCAUAUAUUUCCCGCAUGGGUUUUAUAUUAAAGAAAUUCGGUAUGAGAUGGGGAUGCGUUCCAUUAGUUUGUUGGGGGGGUAACGGCCCACCAAGACUACGAUGGAUAGGGGUUCUGAGAGGAAGGUCCCCCACAUUGGAACUGAGACACGGUCCAAACUCCUACGGGAGGCAGCAGUGAGGAAUAUUGGUCAAUGGACGCGAGUCUGAACCAGCCAAGUAGCGCGAAGGAUGACUGCCCUAUGGGUUGUAAACUUCUUUUAUAUGGGAAUAAAGUUGUCCACGUGUGGAUUUUUGUAUGUACCAUAUGAAUAAGGAUCGGCUAACUCCGUGCCAGCAGCCGCGGUAAUACGGAGGAUCCGAGCGUUAUCCGGAUUUAUUGGGUUUAAAGGGAGCGUAGGCGGAUUGUUAAGUCAGUUGUGAAAGUUUGCGGCUCAACCGUAAAAUUGCAGUUGAUACUGGCAGUCUUGAGUGCAGUAGAGGUGGGCGGAAUUCGUGGUGUAGCGGUGAAAUGCUUAGAUAUCACGAAGAACUCCGAUUG